This 66-nucleotide small RNA is filed under the name Xanthomonas axonopodis pv. begoniae. RNAcentral's name for it is "sX9 sRNA". It matches the Rfam family "Xanthomonas sRNA sX9". The record is from RNAcentral. Lineage: Bacteria; Pseudomonadati; Pseudomonadota; Gammaproteobacteria; Lysobacterales; Lysobacteraceae.
AUGUACCACUCGCCGGUUCCUGUGCGCCGUCCAUGCCCACCUGACGACCGCUACGUUUUGUUAGCA